This 336-nucleotide ribosomal RNA is filed under the name uncultured Oomycota. RNAcentral describes it as "eukaryotic LSU rRNA". It matches the Rfam family "Eukaryotic large subunit ribosomal RNA", at positions 326 to 612 of the family's 3401-position model. The record is from RNAcentral. Lineage: Eukaryota; Oomycota.
GUGCGAGACCGAUAGCGAACAAGUACCGUGAGGGAAAGAUGAAAAGAACUUUGAAAAGAGAGUUAAAGAGUACCUGAAACUGCUGAAAGGGAAUCGAAUCGUUUCCAGUGUCUAUAAUCUGUGGCAUAUUUCAUUGGCGAGUGUGUGCGUGCAUUGUUUUGGAAGCAGUUUUCUGUUCCUGGCUGUGUUGUGCAUUUGCUUGCUGGUGCCCUGUGUCGCGGUGGGACGUCAGAGUCAAUUCGUAAGUUGCGGGAAAUGGCUAUUGGGGAGGUAGGUCACUUCGGUGGCUGUUAUAUCCUGAUAGCUAGUAGUCGUGGCUGGGAUUGAGGUGCCUAC